Small nuclear RNA from Vicugna pacos (alpaca), 104 nucleotides. The record is from Ensembl. Lineage: Eukaryota; Metazoa; Chordata; Mammalia; Artiodactyla; Camelidae.
GUGCUGGCGUCAGCCGCGCGUAUACUAAAACUGGAACGACACAGAGAUUAGCACGGCCCCUGUGCAAAGAUGACGUGCAAACUUGUGAAGUGUUCCAUGUUUUU